CCUCAGCGACGGACCGGGC
Molecule: small RNA, 19 nt
Filed under: Arabidopsis thaliana (thale cress)
Lineage: Eukaryota; Viridiplantae; Streptophyta; Magnoliopsida; Brassicales; Brassicaceae
Description: Ath_wt_01127
Source: RNAcentral